AGGUAGUUGGUGAGGUAACGGCCCACCAAGCCGACGAUCGGUAGCCGACCUGAGAGGGUGAUCGGCCACAUUGGGACUGAGACACGGCCCAAACUCCUACGGGAGGCAGCAGUGGGAAUAUUGGGCAAUGGAAGAAACUCUGACCCAGCAACGCCGCGUGGAGGAAGAAGGUUUUCGGAUCGUAAACUCCUGUCCUUGGAGACGAGUAGAAGACGGUAUCCAAGGAGGAAGCCCCGGCUAACUACGUGCCAGCAGCCGCGGUAAUACGUAGGGGGCAAGCGUUGUCCGGAAUAAUUGGGCGUAAAGGGCGCGUAGGCGGCUCGGUAAGUCUGGAGUGAAAGUCCUGCUUUUAAGGUGGGAAUUGCUUUGGAUACUGUCGGGCUUGAGUGCAGGAGAGGUUGUGGAAUUCCCAGUGUAGCGGUGAAAUGCGUAGAGAUUGGGAGGAACACCAGUGGCGAAGGCGACUAACUGGACUGUAACUGACGCUGAGGCGCGAAAGUGUGGGGAGCAAACAGGAUUAGAUACCCUGGUAGUCCACACUGUAAACGAUGAAUGCUAGGUGUAGGGGGUAUCGACCCCUUCUGUGCCGCAGUCAACACAAUAAGCAUUCCGCCUGGGGAGUACGGCCGCAAGGUUGAAACUCAAAGGAAUUGACGGGGGCCCGCACAAGCAGCGGAGCAUGUGGUUUAAUUCGACGCAACGCGAAGAACCUUACCAGGUCUUGACAUCCACUUAAACUUACAGAGAUGUAAGGUGUGCUUGCACAAAGUGAGACAGGUGGUGCAUGGUUGUCGUCAGCUCGUGUCGUGAGAUGUUGGGUUAAGUCCCGCAACGAGCGCAACCCUUAUCUUCAGUUACUAACGCGUAAAGGUGAGGACUCUGAAGAGACUGCCGGGGACAACUCGGAGGAAGGUGGGGACGACGUCAAAUCAUCAUGCCCCUUAUGACCUGGGCUACACACGUGCUACAAUGGCCACGACAGAGAGAAGCGAAAUCGCAAGGUAGAGCGGAACUCAAAAAAGUGGUCCCAGUUCGGAUUGUGGGCUGCAACCCGCCCACAUGAAGUCGGAGUUGCUAGUAAUCGCGGAUCAGCAUGCCGCGGUGAAUACGUUCCCGGGCCUUGUACACACCGCCCGUCACACCAUGGGAGUUGGGAGUGCCCAAAGCCGGUGAGGCAACCGCAAGGAGCCAGCCGUCUAAGGCAAGACCAAUGACUGGGGUGAAGUCGUAACAAGGUAGCCGUAUCGGAAGGUGCGGCUG
This 1260-nucleotide ribosomal RNA is filed under the name metagenome. RNAcentral describes it as "bacterial SSU rRNA". It matches the Rfam family "Bacterial small subunit ribosomal RNA", at positions 243 to 1520 of the family's 1533-position model. The record is from RNAcentral.